RNAcentral lists this ribosomal RNA (991 nucleotides) under bacterium enrichment culture clone NAP-20. Its description in RNAcentral is "bacterial SSU rRNA". It matches the Rfam family "Bacterial small subunit ribosomal RNA", at positions 418 to 1401 of the family's 1533-position model. The record is from RNAcentral.
UCGGGUUGUAAAGCACUUUCAAUAGGGAGGAAAGGUUGUAAGUUAAUACCUUGCAACUGUGACGUUACCUAUAGAAGAAGCACCGGCUAACUCCGUGCCAGCAGCCGCGGUAAUACGGAGGGUGCAAGCGUUAAUCGGAAUUACUGGGCGUAAAGCGCGCGUAGGCGGUUAUUUAAGUCAGAUGUGAAAUCCCCGGGCUCAACCUGGGAAUUGCAUUUGAUACUGGAUGGCUAGAGUGUGGUAGAGGUGAGUGGAAUUUCAGGUGUAGCGGUGAAAUGCGUAGAGAUCUGAAGGAACAUCAGUGGCGAAGGCGACUCACUGGGCCAUUACUGACGCUGAGGUGCGAAAGCGUGGGUAGCAAACAGGAUUAGAUACCCUGGUAGUCCACGCCCUAAACGAUGUCAACUAGGUGUAUGGAGAAUUUAUUCUUUGUGUAUCGAAGCUAACGCGAUAAGUUGACCGCCUGGGGAGUACGGUCGCAAGACUAAAACUCAAAUGAAUUGACGGGGGCCCGCACAAGCGGUGGAGCAUGUGGUUUAAUUCGAUGCAACGCGAAGAACCUUACCUACCCUUGACAUCGAGAGAACUUUCCAGAGAUGGAUUGGUGCCUUCGGGAACUCUCAGACAGGUGCUGCAUGGCUGUCGUCAGCUCGUGUUGUGAAAUGUUGGGUUAAGUCCCGUAACGAGCGCAACCCUUGUCCCUAUUUGCCAGCGAUUCGGUCGGGAACUCUAGGGAGACUGCCGGUGACAAACCGGAGGAAGGUGGGGACGACGUCAAGUCAUCAUGGCCCUUACGGGUAGGGCUACACACGUGCUACAAUGGCCGGUACAAUGGGUUGCGAAUCCGCGAGGUGGAGCUAAUCCCAUAAAGCCGGUCUCAGUCCGGAUCGGAGUCUGCAACUCGACUCCGUGAAGUCGGAAUCGCUAGUAAUCGUGAAUCAGAAUGUCACGGUGAAUACGUUCCCGGGCCUUGCACACACCGCCCGUAAUC